Molecule: ribosomal RNA, 373 nt
Filed under: uncultured bacterium
Lineage: Bacteria
Description: bacterial SSU rRNA
Rfam family: Bacterial small subunit ribosomal RNA
Source: RNAcentral
ACGGGUGAGUAACGCGUAAGAACCUAUCCCUAGGCGGGGGACAACCACUGGAAACGGUGGCUAAUACCCCAUGUGCUGAGGAGUAAAAGGAGGAAUCCACCUGGGGAGGGGCUUGCGUCUGAUUAGCUAGUUGGUGAGGCAAUGGCUUACCAAGGCGACGAUCAGUAGCUGGUCUGAGAGGAUGAUCAGCCACACUGGGACUGAGACACGGCCCAGACUCCUACGGGAGGCAGCAGUGGGGAAUUUUCCGCAAUGGGCGCAAGCCUGACGGAGCAAUGCCGCGUGGAGGAAGAAGGCUCACGGGUCGUAAACUCCUUUUCUCAGAGAAGAAGACAUGACGGUAUCUGAGGAAUAAGCAUCGGCUAACUCUGUG